RNAcentral lists this ribosomal RNA (550 nucleotides) under uncultured bacterium. RNAcentral describes it as "bacterial SSU rRNA". It matches the Rfam family "Bacterial small subunit ribosomal RNA", at positions 355 to 896 of the family's 1533-position model. The record is from RNAcentral.
UAGGGAAUCUUCCGCAAUGGACGAAAGUCUGACGGAGCAACGCCGCGUGAGUGAUGAAGGUUUUCGGAUCGUAAAACUCUGUUGUUAGGGAAGAACAAGUACAAGAGUAACUGCUUGUACCUUGACGAUACCUAACCAGAAAGCCACGGCUAACUACGUGCCAGCAGCCGCGGUAAUACGUAGGUGGCAAGCGUUGUCCGGAAUUAUUGGGCGUAAAGCGCGCGCAGACGGUCCUUUAAGUCUGAUGUGAAAGCCCACGGCUCAACCGUGGAGGGUCAUUGGAAACUGGGGGACUUGAGUGCAGAAGAGAAGAGUGGAAUUCCACGUGUAGCGGUGAAAUGCGUAGAGAUGUGGAGGAACACCAGUGGCGAAGGCGACUCUUUGGUCUGUAACUGACGCUGAGGCGCGAAAGCGUGGGGAGCAAACAGGAUUAGAUACCCUGGUAGUCCACGCCGUAAACGAUGAGUGCUAAGUGUUAGAGGGUUUCCGCCCUUUAGUGCUGCAGCAAACGCAUUAAGCACUCCGCCUAGGGAGUACGGCCGCAAGGCUG